UAUUUUCNGGUAAGAGGUCAGACUGGGC
This 28-nucleotide non-coding RNA is filed under the name Mus musculus (house mouse). The record is from RNAcentral. Lineage: Eukaryota; Metazoa; Chordata; Mammalia; Rodentia; Muridae.